UAGAAGAACGUUCUGUCAAUCACGGAGAUGGACAUGCAUAACAUUUUGAAGAUAGUAUUGAUUGUGGCAUUAUUCCUAGUGGUGCACCCAAGUGGAUCAAGAAGCCAAUGGGUGACUAACCAACCUAGUCCUCUCUGUCCUUCUCAAUUUGCACUUGUGAAUCAUGCAUGUUCGUUGCUUCCAUUUAAUCCGGUGUCUCCACCAUCUCCACCAUCCCCUUUUCUGCUAGUUUCCCCACCACCUCCUCCCGGCUCUUCAGAA
Molecule: unclassified non-coding RNA, 261 nt
Filed under: Hevea brasiliensis (rubber tree)
Lineage: Eukaryota; Viridiplantae; Streptophyta; Magnoliopsida; Malpighiales; Euphorbiaceae
Source: RNAcentral